CAGGGUAUAGCUCAGUUGGUAGAGCGCCGGGCUGGGGGUCCGGAGGCCGUCAGUUCAAAUCUGACUACCCUGACCA
RNAcentral lists this transfer RNA (76 nucleotides) under candidate division WWE3 bacterium CG_4_10_14_0_2_um_filter_41_14. Its description in RNAcentral is "tRNA-Pro". It matches the Rfam family "tRNA". From Rfam's summary of the family: Transfer RNA (tRNA) molecules are approximately 80 nucleotides in length. Their secondary structure includes four short double-helical elements and three loops (D, anti-codon, and T loops). RNAcentral also lists the same sequence under 1 other name. The record is from RNAcentral. Lineage: Bacteria; candidate division WWE3.